AAGUCGUAACAAGGUCUCCGUAGGUGAACCUGCGGAGGGAUCAUUACCGAGUGUGGGCCUCCAUGCCCAACCUCCCAACCCUUUGUCGAUUCAUAUCUGUUGCCUCGGGGGCGACCGGGACUCGCGCCGGGCAGGUCCCCCGAGCAGGUGCCCAACCAAAAUUACCACUGCGUCUUUGCGUCGAGUAUUGAAAAACAAUCAAUCAAA
This 207-nucleotide unclassified non-coding RNA is filed under the name plant metagenome. RNAcentral's name for it is "partial contains small subunit ribosomal RNA and internal transcribed spacer 1". The stretch from base 1 to 46 matches the Rfam family "Eukaryotic small subunit ribosomal RNA", at positions 1786 to 1831 of the family's 1831-position model. The record is from RNAcentral.